GGCUGGAUAGCAAAAUGGUUAUGCCGCGGAUUGCAAAUCCGCUGACGCCGGUUCGAUUCCGGCUCCAGCCUCCA
Molecule: transfer RNA, 74 nt
Filed under: Moraxellaceae bacterium
Lineage: Bacteria; Pseudomonadati; Pseudomonadota; Gammaproteobacteria; Moraxellales; Moraxellaceae
Also listed under: 4 other names
Description: tRNA-Cys
Rfam family: tRNA
About the family: Transfer RNA (tRNA) molecules are approximately 80 nucleotides in length. Their secondary structure includes four short double-helical elements and three loops (D, anti-codon, and T loops).
Source: RNAcentral